GACGAACGCUGGCGGUGUGCUUCACACAUGCAAGUCGAACGAGGUAGCAAUACCUAGUGGCGGACGGGUGAGUAAACGCGUGGGAAUCUGCCUUUAGAUGGGGGAUAACGGGUCGAAAGACUCGCUAAUACCGCAUAUGACGAAAGUUGAAAGGAGUAAUCCGUCUAAAGAUGAGCCCGCGUCCGAUUAGCUAGUUGGUAGAGUAAAAGCCUACCAAGGCGACGAUCGGUAGCUGGUCUGAGAGGAUGAUCAGCCACAAUGGGACUAGAGACACGGCCCAUACUCCUACGGAGGCAGCAGUGGGAAUUUUACGCAAUGGCGGAAGCCUGACGUAGCGACACCGCGUGAGCGAAGAAGCCCUUGGGGUGUAAAGGCUCUGUCAGCUGGACGAAAAAAAUGACGGUACCAGCAGAGGAAGCAUCGGCUAACUACGUGCCAGCAGCCGCGGUAAU
RNAcentral lists this ribosomal RNA (452 nucleotides) under uncultured bacterium. RNAcentral's name for it is "bacterial SSU rRNA". It matches the Rfam family "Bacterial small subunit ribosomal RNA", at positions 28 to 524 of the family's 1533-position model. The record is from RNAcentral.